GCCGGGUACAGUGCUGCAUGCCUGUAAUCCCAGUAGCUUGGGAGGCUGAUGCUGGAGAUGGUGAGUUCAAAGCCAGCCUCAG
This 82-nucleotide small RNA is filed under the name Marmota monax (woodchuck). The record is from RNAcentral. Lineage: Eukaryota; Metazoa; Chordata; Mammalia; Rodentia; Sciuridae.